RNAcentral lists this transfer RNA (72 nucleotides) under Saprospiraceae bacterium. RNAcentral's name for it is "tRNA-Thr". It matches the Rfam family "tRNA". Rfam says of the family: Transfer RNA (tRNA) molecules are approximately 80 nucleotides in length. The record is from RNAcentral. Lineage: Bacteria; Pseudomonadati; Bacteroidota; Saprospiria; Saprospirales; Saprospiraceae.
GCCAAUGUAGCUCAGGGGUAGAGCACUUCCAUGGUAAGGAAGGGGUCGUAGGUUCAAUUCCUAUCAUUGGCU